Molecule: microRNA precursor, 87 nt
Organism: Cercocebus atys (sooty mangabey)
Lineage: Eukaryota; Metazoa; Chordata; Mammalia; Primates; Cercopithecidae
Source: Ensembl
GCCCCACCCUCAGGAGGAGGCUGACAUCUUCAGAGCAGGGUUUGAUCUGUGCUUCACUGACAUCAGUGAUUCUCCUGCUGCUUUUAU